UACAGUAACAUUCCACAUUUGCCCUUGGUCCAAGUGAAUUUGUUGCCUGGCUCUGUCUUCUUCCUUUUCCUGAAUCCCUCUGAUUUUUCAUUUUCUUGUGUGUUUUUAACCAGAAAUUGCUCCCAUCUUUUCAAUUUCUAGCAUCCUCUCUCCUCUUUCUCUCUUAAUUUCCUACCCUCCAUAUCUCCAAUUCUCAAUUAUUCAUCUAAUAAACCCAAAUUUUUAGCAAUUGAUGGUUACAAUAGACGGCAUCGUCGAGAGCGGUUUGGAACUCUAAAUUUUGGACCCUCGAUCGAAAGGGGUUUGAAAAGUGCUCUCUAAAACUUGCAGCGGCUCCUGACCUAUGUCUCUUCCAAUGGUGGUACCAUUUUGUUUAGAUCAUCAACUUCAUUGUCUAGGGUUUUGCCUUACAAUUUCGUUAAUUUGGUAUGCUACUCUGUAUUCCAUUUUCAUCAUUUCAAUAGCUAUUCUUCAAUUUUGCCUCGAUUUGUGGGUGUCUUUUGUGAAUCCUUGACGAAGACGACGAUGCCUUCAUUCUCCUGGGGGUGCUGGUUUUAUUGGAUCACAUGCAGCACCAACACUUUUAAGACAUGUAUCAUGAGACAAUUGUGGUAUCCUCUCCCUUUAAUCAUCCUUACUGUCCACUAAUCUUUCUCGUGGGAACCUAGCUGCUGCAACAAAUUUUUCCUAAACCAGGAAAACUUCAGUUUGAUAUGGGUUGCUGUUACUCAAAAGUGUUCAUUUGAAGUACAAAUAAGAUCACCAGUGUAAAAUUAAGGCAUGAAUUCAGUACCUUGUGACUGUGAUCAGGACGGAAGGAGUAGUAACAGGCUUUUGUAAUACAAUUGCUUUAGGUUUUAAGGUUUGGGUAAUUUUUUAGUGUUGUUUGAUCUUCAGAUUUGAUGAUUAUGUUUUGUGUAUUAUUUUUUUUUUUUUUUUUUUUUUUUUUUUUUUUGUUGUUGAUGUGUGUGAUGUGUUUUGAGAGAUUUUGGAAUAGCUCUUAAGAAAUGCAAUCAGAGUAAAAUUCUUUUGAUUUUAAACCUAAAUUCUGUUGAUUUUAAAUCAAAGUUGUAUUCUUUUUCAUUUCAGAGUGGUGAGUAUAUGAUGUAUCAUUCUUCAAAGGAAAAUAUCUGUUAUUGUAACUGGCAAACACUUUCAAAGGAGACCUCCUCUUGAGUUAAUCCACUUUCAAAGGACAAGUAGCAAAUAUAUAUCUAAUAAGCAUGUAGAACAUGAAGUAUUUCGGGCAGUUUGGGUUCAUUAUAUUCGAUUGACGGGAAAUGCUUUGGUGCCAUGUUAAGAGAGGAUUUUUAUCAAUAGCAGAGGUGAAUACCAAAGGUAUAGUUCUUAGGUUUCCUAUCAGAUAUAUGUCAGGCAAUGCUUUCAUGGUGGUUCAACACUCAUGGUUGCUCAUCUAAAUGAGAAUCUCCAUGAUAUUGGGGCUUAUUCGGUACAAUUGUGCAUGGACAGCCAAGAAGUCAACCUCAACAAUUGAUAGAAUUUCAAGGCUUUUUAGGAGACUUUUUCUCCAGCAUUAGCAAAUGAGAAUGGCCAAGAAAACCUGCAACUAGAGCCAAUUGGAUAAGCAUUCUCGUCGAGGAUUGCAAGCAAAGGUGCAUCAAAGGAUGAAGCUGUUGAAAUAAAUGGGAGUCCUAUUGCUUUGUUCUUUCAAAACUUGGCCUUUGUGACAGCCUGGUUACAUGAAUUAUGAUUGUAUGAUGAUUACUAAGUUUUCAUUGCAGUAAUGAAUAUUUUGCCUUUAAUCUUUUUGCUUCUAUAUUCACUUCAAGAAGUCCUUUGUUGGUUUAAAAUCAAAGGUGCUAAUGGUAGCUGAGAUUAGAAAUAUUAAUGCAUCCUUCCAUUUUGUCUUAAUUUUGUAUACAAUGCGUAACGUGAUUCAAAGUUCCCAUGUAAUAAAGUUGAGUAUAGCAAUAUCAGGUUGACGAA
This is a long non-coding RNA of Chenopodium quinoa (quinoa), 1947 nucleotides long. RefSeq lists it as uncharacterized. The transcript has 5 exons. Lineage: Eukaryota; Viridiplantae; Streptophyta; Magnoliopsida; Caryophyllales; Amaranthaceae. The record is from RefSeq and is a predicted model, not a curated record.